AUCAAGUUAGUUUAAUUAUAAAACAUCAGCUUGUGGAUUUGAUAAUGAAAUUUACUUCACUUGAUC
Molecule: transfer RNA, 66 nt
Filed under: Anentome sp. YY-2021
Lineage: Eukaryota; Metazoa; Mollusca; Gastropoda; Neogastropoda; Nassariidae
Description: tRNA-His
Rfam family: tRNA
About the family: Transfer RNA (tRNA) molecules are approximately 80 nucleotides in length. Their secondary structure includes four short double-helical elements and three loops (D, anti-codon, and T loops).
Source: RNAcentral